RNAcentral lists this ribosomal RNA (799 nucleotides) under Achromobacter sp. RNAcentral describes it as "bacterial SSU rRNA". It matches the Rfam family "Bacterial small subunit ribosomal RNA", at positions 621 to 1426 of the family's 1533-position model. The record is from RNAcentral. Lineage: Bacteria; Pseudomonadati; Pseudomonadota; Betaproteobacteria; Burkholderiales; Alcaligenaceae.
CUGCAUUUGUGACUGCAUAGAUAGAGUGUGUGAGAGGGAUGAUGGAAUUCCGCAGUGUAGCAGUGAAAUAGGUAGAUAUGCGGAGGAACGCCGAUGAGGGAAGCCAGUUUCCUGGGAUAGUACUGACGGUCAUGCAAGAAAGGGUGGGGAGCAAACAGGAUUAGAUGGCCUGGUAGUCCACGCCCUAAAUGAUGUCAACUGGUGGUUGGGUCCUUAUGGCCUUGGUAGCGCAGCUAAAGCGUGAAGUUGACCGCAGGGGGAGUACGGAAGCAAAAUUCAAAGUCAAAGGAAUGGGCGGGGACCCGCGCAAGCGGUGGAUGAUUUGGUUUAAUUGGAUGCAACGCGAAAAACCUUACUUUCCUUUUACAUAUCUGUAAUCAUAUAGAGAUUGGGGAGUGCUAGAAAGAGAACAGGAACACAGGUGCUGCAUGGCUGUCGUCAGCUGGUAUAGUGAGAUGUAGGGUUAAGUCCGGCAACGACCGCUACCCUUUUCAUUAGUUGUUACGAAAGGGCACUCUAAUGAGACUGCCGGUGACAAACGGGAGGAAGGUGGGGAUGAGGUCAAGUCUUCAUGGCCCUUAUGGGUGGGGCUACACAGGUCAUACAAUGUUGGUACAAAGGGUUGCCACCCGCGAGGGGGAGCCAAUCCCAAAAAACCGUUUGUAGUCCGAUCGCAGUCUGCAACUCGACUCCGUGAAGUCGGAAUCGCUAGUAAUCGGGGAUCAGCAUGUCUGCGGGAAUACGUUUCCCGGUCUUGUUCACCCCCCCCGUCACACCCAUGGAACUGGUUUCCCAGAAG